CAGCGUCCACAAGUGGGAGUCGUCAUUAUUUGGCCUAAAGCGUCCGUAGCUGGUUUAGUAAAUCUUUUGUGAAAUCGUUUCGCUCAACGGAACGGCGUGCAGAAGACACUGCUGAACUAGGGACCGGGAGGAGUCAGAGGUAUGCUAGGGGGAGCGGUAAAAUGCUAUAAUCCCUAGUAGACCACCUGUGGCGAAGGCGUCUGACUAGAACGGGUCCGACAGUGAGGGACGAAAGCCAGGGGAGCAAACCGGAUUAGAUACCCGAGUAGUCC
This 272-nucleotide ribosomal RNA is filed under the name uncultured archaeon. RNAcentral describes it as "partial 16S ribosomal RNA". It matches the Rfam family "Archaeal small subunit ribosomal RNA", at positions 476 to 747 of the family's 1478-position model. The record is from RNAcentral.